This 638-nucleotide ribosomal RNA is filed under the name uncultured soil bacterium. RNAcentral describes it as "bacterial SSU rRNA". It matches the Rfam family "Bacterial small subunit ribosomal RNA", at positions 8 to 646 of the family's 1533-position model. The record is from RNAcentral.
AGAGUUUGAUCAUGGCUCAGGACAAACGCUGGCGGCGUGGAUUAGGCAUGCAAGUCGAACGAAUCCCAGCCUUGUAGCAAUACCGGGCUGGGGGAAGUGGCGAAAGGGGCAGUAAGGCGUGGGUAACCUACCCCGGGGACGCGGAUAGCCAUUCUAACGAGUGGGUAAUACGCGGCGAUUCAGCGUGAUGGCAUCAUCGUGCUGGGAAAUGAAUUUCGCCUCGGGAGGGGCUCACGUGAUAUUAGCUUGUUGGCGGGGUAACGGCCCACCAAGGCGAAGAUGUCUAGCGGGUGUGAGAGCACGACCCGCGCCACUGGCACUGAGACACUGGCCAGACACCUACGGGUGGCUGCAGUCGAGGAUCUUCGGCAAUGGGCGCAAGCCUGACCGAGCGACGCCGCGUGUGCGAUGAAGGCCUUCGGGUUGUAAAGCACUGUCGAGGGGGAUAAAGCCCGCAAGGGUUGAUUGAUCCCUGGAGGAAGCACGGGCUAAGUUCGUGCCAGCAGCCGCGGUAAGACGAACCGUGCGAACGUUGUUCGGAAUCACUGGGCUUAAAGGGCGCGUAGGCGGCUUCGCAAGUCCGGGGUGAAAGCCCCCAGCUCAACUGGGGAAGUGCCUUGGAUACUGCGGAGCUCGAG